GCCAGUGUGGUGUAGUGGUUUGAGAGUUGGAUUAUGACUCUGGAGGUUAGGGUUCAAACCCCAGCUUGGCCA
Molecule: non-coding RNA, 72 nt
Organism: Phrynosoma platyrhinos (Desert horned lizard)
Lineage: Eukaryota; Metazoa; Chordata; Lepidosauria; Squamata; Phrynosomatidae
Source: the annotation of a GenBank genome assembly